RNAcentral lists this non-coding RNA (23 nucleotides) under Cricetulus griseus (Chinese hamster). The record is from RNAcentral. Lineage: Eukaryota; Metazoa; Chordata; Mammalia; Rodentia; Cricetidae.
UCUGAUAAGGGCAGAAACGGUUC